GACGAACGCUGGCGGCGUGCUUAACACAUGCAAGUCUGGGGGCGGGGCGACCCGUCACCGGCGAACGGGUGCGGAACACGUGAGCGACCUGCCCUGUGUGUGGGGGAUAGCCGGCCCAACGGCCGGGUAAUACCGCAUACGUCCCGCGCUUGGAGGCGCUGGGAGAAAGCCCGGAAGGGCGCACGAGGAGGGGCUCGCGGCCUAUCAGCUAGUUGGGGGGGUAACGGCCCACCAAGGCGACGACGGGUAGCUGGUCUGAGAGGAUGGCCAGCCACAUUGGGACGGAGAGACGGCCUAGACUCCGACGGGAGGCAGCAGUGGGGACUCUUGCGCAAUGGGUGACAGCGUGACGCAGCGACGCCGCGUGGAGGAUGAGGCCCGUCGGGGUGUAAACUCCUGUGGCUAGGGACGAACGGCGGGCAUCGGCCCGCUUGACGGUACCGGGUGAGGAAGCACCGGCUAACUAUGUG
RNAcentral lists this ribosomal RNA (470 nucleotides) under uncultured bacterium. Its description in RNAcentral is "partial 16S ribosomal RNA". It matches the Rfam family "Bacterial small subunit ribosomal RNA", at positions 28 to 507 of the family's 1533-position model. The record is from RNAcentral.